UUGAAGUGUUAUAGCCUCUGGUAGAUGUGGUGACUGGAACUGAGGAUUGCAACAAAUAUCCUUUGAGCUAUCCGUCUGAUCUCUGAAAGUUGCUUAGGUGCUGAAAGCGUGCUUAUGGUCAUCUAAGUUAACGGUCAACAGGCUAGAAUGUGAUUACAUUCGUUAAGGAUGUUGGCGUAAUGGCUUUAAACGA
RNAcentral lists this ribosomal RNA (193 nucleotides) under Glomeraceae sp. RNAcentral describes it as "partial large subunit ribosomal RNA". Lineage: Eukaryota; Fungi; Glomeromycota; Glomeromycetes; Glomerales; Glomeraceae. The record is from RNAcentral.